GAAAAGAGAGAUUAGACAAGAGUCUAGACUAAAAAGGGAGUGGAGGAGAACAAAGUAACAGGGUAACAGUAACAUCUCGAGAAAGAGAGAUCUGACAGGGCACACACGAAUGGUGAUGGCGAGUGAGAGAGAGAGAGAGAUCUCAGUAUACAUCUCUGAUGCUGACUCUUUGUAUGGAAUGUGAUUGAGUUGGCGGCUCGUCCUCCCCGGCCAUUACGACCACCACCAACAGUUACUUAUUUUGCCAAUUUAGAGGGAGAGAAGAAGGAAAGAGCGCAACAAGCAGAGAGUGUUAGAAUAGAGGGGAAGUGGCGAAUUAAUAUGCAAUGACAAGCAUAGGCUCGAUUUUUGUGCUUAGCUUCCACCACUUUGAUGCUUUC
This 380-nucleotide long non-coding RNA is filed under the name Manihot esculenta (cassava). Its description in RNAcentral is "long non-coding RNA (MESC_LNC004715)". Lineage: Eukaryota; Viridiplantae; Streptophyta; Magnoliopsida; Malpighiales; Euphorbiaceae. The record is from RNAcentral.